GACGAACGCUUGCGGCGUGCUUAACACAUGCAAGUCGAACGGAAAGGCCCUGCUUUUGUGGGGUGCUCGAGUGGCGAACGGGUGAGUAACACGUGAGUAACCUGCCCUUGACUUUGGGAUAACUUCAGGAAACUGGGGCUAAUACCGGAUAGGAGCUCCUGCUGCAUGGUGGGGGUUGGAAAGUUUCGGCGGUUGGGGAUGGACUCGCGGCUUAUCAGCUUGUUGGUGGGGUAGUGGCUUACCAAGGCUUUGACGGGUAGCCGGCCUGAGAGGGUGACCGGCCACAUUGGGACUGAGAUACGGCCCAGACUCCUACGGGAGGCAGCAGUGGGGAAUAUUGCACAAUGGGCGGAAGCCUGAUGCAGCAACGCCGCGUGCGGGAUGACGGCCUUCGGGUUGUAAACCGCUUUCGCCUGUGACGAAGCGUGAGUGACGGUAAUGGGUAAAGAAGCACCGGCUAACUACGUGCCAGCAGCCGCGGUGAUACGUAGGGUGCGAGCGUUGUCCGGAUUUAUUGGGCGUAAAGGGCUCGUAGGUGGUUGAUCGCGUCGGAAGUGUAAUCUUGGGGCUUAACCCUGAGCGUGCUUUCGAUACGGGUUGACUUGAGGAAGGUAGGGGAGAAUGGAAUUCCUGGUGGAGCGGUGGAAUGCGCAGAUAUCAGGAGGAACACCAGUGGCGAAGGCGGUUCUCUGGGCCUUUCCUGACGCUGAGGAGCGAAAGCGUGGGGAGCGAACAGGCUUAGAUACCCUGGUAGUCCACGCUGUAAACGGUGGGUACUAGGUGUGGGGUCCAUUCCACGGGUUCCGUGCCGUAGCUAACGCUUUAAGUACCCCGCCUGGGGAGUACGGCCGCAAGGCUAAAACUCAAAGGAAUUGACGGGGCCCCGCACAAGCGGCGGAGCAUGCGGAUUAAUUCGAUGCAACGCGUAGAACCUUACCUGGGUUUGACAUGGAUCGGGAGUGCUCAGAGAUGGGUGUGCCUCUUUUGGGGUCGGUUCACAGGUGGUGCAUGCCUGUCGUCAGCUCGUGUCGUGAGAUGUUGGGUUAAGUCCCGCAACGAGCGCAACCCUUGUUCACUGUUGCCAGCACGUUAUGGUGGGGACUCAGUGGAGACCGCCGGGGUCAACUCGGAGGAAGGUGGGGAUGACGUCAAGUCCUCAUGCCCCUUAUGUCCAGGGCUUCACGCAUGCUACAAUGGCUGGUACAGAGAGUGGCGAGCCUGUGAGGGUGAACGAAUCUCGGAAAGCCGGUCUCAGUUCGGAUUGGGGUCUGCAACUCGACCUCAUGAAGUCGGAGUCGCUAGUAAUCGCAGAUCAGCAACGCUGCGGUGAAUACGUUCCCGGGGCU
This 1346-nucleotide ribosomal RNA is filed under the name uncultured bacterium. RNAcentral describes it as "bacterial SSU rRNA". It matches the Rfam family "Bacterial small subunit ribosomal RNA", at positions 28 to 1381 of the family's 1533-position model. The record is from RNAcentral.